Molecule: ribosomal RNA, 302 nt
Filed under: uncultured bacterium
Lineage: Bacteria
Description: partial 16S ribosomal RNA
Rfam family: Bacterial small subunit ribosomal RNA
Source: RNAcentral
GCAGUAGCCGCGGUAAUACGAAGGGGGCUAGCGUUGUUCGGAAUUACUGGGCGUAAAGCGCACGUAGGCGGACAUUUAAGUCAGGGGUGAAAUCCCGGGGCUCAACCCCGGAACUGCCUUUGAUACUGGGUGUCUAGAGUAUGGAAGAGGUGAGUGGAAUUCCGAGUGUAGAGGUGAAAUUCGUAGAUAUUCGGAGGAACACCAGUGGCGAAGGCGGCUCACUGGUCCAUUACUGACGCUGAGGUGCGAAAGCGUGGGGAGCAAACAGGAUUAGAUACCCCCGUAGUCCCUGUCUCUUAUAU